Molecule: transfer RNA, 74 nt
Filed under: Cryomorphaceae bacterium
Lineage: Bacteria; Pseudomonadati; Bacteroidota; Flavobacteriia; Flavobacteriales; Cryomorphaceae
Also listed under: 1 other name
Description: tRNA-Arg
Rfam family: tRNA
About the family: Transfer RNA (tRNA) molecules are approximately 80 nucleotides in length. Their secondary structure includes four short double-helical elements and three loops (D, anti-codon, and T loops).
Source: RNAcentral
GGCUCUGUAGCUCAACUGGAUAGAGUCCCUGACUACGGAUCAGGAGGUUUUAGGUUCGAAUCCUAACAGAGUCA